This is a non-coding RNA of Cajanus cajan (pigeon pea), 103 nucleotides long. The record is from Rfam. NCBI's taxonomy places the organism in Eukaryota, Viridiplantae, Streptophyta, Magnoliopsida, Fabales, Fabaceae.
AUAACUAUUUGAUGUUGGCUUGGCUCAAUCAAAUUAAAGUUCUUUAAGAGAUAUGUUGAGUUCUUUAAUAUGAUUGAGCCGUGCCAAUAUCAAAAUAUUCAUC